This is a long non-coding RNA of Leptonychotes weddellii (Weddell seal), 1117 nucleotides long. RefSeq lists it as uncharacterized. Lineage: Eukaryota; Metazoa; Chordata; Mammalia; Carnivora; Phocidae. The record is from RefSeq and is a predicted model, not a curated record.
GGUAAGGGGUGAGGGGUGAGGGGAGGAAGCGCUAAAGUGUGUUGAAGAGUCAGGUGGACAGGGGCAUAUGAGGCUUCUGACUUGGAAACUGUGCAAAAAGAAGCCACUGCCCAACUUCCCCAGGAACUGUAUCACCUCCAGAAUGCUUCCAUCCCUCCGGGACCUCCAUCUUCUCCAAGCCCCAACCAUGAAAGAAACUUCCAAAUUAGCAGAUAUCGCUGAGCACCGAAGAUGUUCCAGGCACUGUUGAAGAGGUGUGUGUGACGUGGUAUAGAAAGGGAUGAACAUUCAUACGAGGCCGUAGAAGAUGCAGGUCAUCUGAUGGCAGAACUGCCAGAGAGGUAAAGGGUGCUGACCUGUUUGAUUCCUUUCAUGACAUCCACCCAUUCCUAUGAGUGACUUCCGUAGCAUCACUAACAUGUCAUCUCCAGCUUGCUCUCCAGAAAGAAUGAAUGUGUGGAAGCUGGCAUUUGAUUUCUCCUUGCUGGCUACUGACCCUAUAGAGACAGAUGGACAACAUGGACACUCACUUGGACAUCAGGCUACUGAGACAUGUUGUCAGGUAAUUGGCUGAUCAUACUGUGCCCAAGAGCCAAAGGCUUGAUGGUUCUGGUCAUCUUCCCUAAUUAGAAUGAGAGAGGAUAUGGGAACCCAAACUCAUGGGUCAUCUGAUCCAGGGCUUGCCUAUUUGUAAAGUCAAAGGUCUUCUGUUUAGUUCCUCAGUUCUUUCUCUUGAUUAGAAUCAGGGAAAAGGCUUUUGUCACCCAGGUUUGGAAACACUGUCUCUAAUCUCCACCUGACCAGCCCUGGGUAGGUGGAGGGAUUUUGAACUGAGCAGCCUUGGGUUCUCCAACUGGCAACCAAAACUACAUUCAGGGGCGUUCCUCAGACCCCCACAUUUAAAUAACCUGGAAUGUUUGAAGUAAAUGUAUUUUACUAAUCUGGAAUUAGUAUUUAUUAUGUUGAUGGGGGCAGGAGAAUGAGCAGGGGUAUUUAUGUUUUAAUAAUCCCCUAGGUGAUUCUUAGUAACAUUAAAGUUUGAAAAAAAUUUCCCUAGAGGAUUCUUCUGUAGCUUCAGGUCCAUGAACUUUCUGAGAUUGCCUACACAUUCUGUGUA